This 106-nucleotide small nuclear RNA is filed under the name Naja naja (Indian cobra). The record is from RNAcentral. Lineage: Eukaryota; Metazoa; Chordata; Lepidosauria; Squamata; Elapidae.
UGUUGAGUUCGGCAGCACAUAUACUAAAAUUGGAACGAUACAGAGAAAAUUAGCAUGGCCCCUGCACAAGGAUGACACGCAAAUUCAUGAAGCGUUCCAUAUUUUU